GGAAUGAAUGGGCUAAUUAGGAAUAGACUUUUUUAUUAGUAAUAACUUAAUUUUAUUAUCAAGUUAAAAGGCUUGGUUAAUGUAGAGUGACAAGAAGACCCUAAGAUUUUUACAGGGUAGUUGUUUACUGGCUUGUGUGGUAGUAAAGAGGGUGAGUGAUUAUUUUGUUUAGCUGGGGCGGUUGGAAUAUUGUCUAUUUUGUAAUUUACUUUAAUGAUAGUAUUGUGUAUAUUAUUAUCCUUGUUGGAAGACAUGAUAAAUUACCUUAGGGAUAACAGCAUAAUCUUUUCUGAGAGACCGUAUUGACGAAGAGGUUUGUGACCUCGAUGUUGGAUUUGAAUAACUUUUAGGGGCAGCACUUGUAAAAGUUGGUCUGUUCGACCAUUAAAUCUC
RNAcentral lists this ribosomal RNA (393 nucleotides) under Heterodesmus apriculus. RNAcentral's name for it is "partial large subunit ribosomal RNA". The stretch from base 59 to 393 matches the Rfam family "Bacterial large subunit ribosomal RNA", at positions 2049 to 2596 of the family's 2925-position model. The record is from RNAcentral. Lineage: Eukaryota; Metazoa; Arthropoda; Ostracoda; Myodocopida; Cypridinidae.